RNAcentral lists this ribosomal RNA (253 nucleotides) under uncultured bacterium. RNAcentral describes it as "partial 16S ribosomal RNA". It matches the Rfam family "Bacterial small subunit ribosomal RNA", at positions 524 to 776 of the family's 1533-position model. The record is from RNAcentral.
UACGGAGGGGGCUAGCGCUGUUCGGAAUUACUGGGCGUAAAGCGCGCGUAGGCGGACCUGCAAGUCGGGGGUGAAAGCCCGAGGCUCAACCUCGGAACUGCCUUCGAUACUGCGGGUCUCGAGUCCGGGAGAGGUGAGUGGAAUUCCUAGUGUAGAGGUGAAAUUCGUAGAUAUUAGGAAGAACACCAGUGGCGAAGGCGGCUCACUGGCCCGGUACUGACGCUGAGGCGCGAAAGCGUGGGGAGCAAACAGG